RNAcentral lists this ribosomal RNA (265 nucleotides) under uncultured bacterium. RNAcentral describes it as "partial 16S ribosomal RNA". It matches the Rfam family "Bacterial small subunit ribosomal RNA", at positions 793 to 1055 of the family's 1533-position model. The record is from RNAcentral.
GUCCUAGCCGUAAACGAUGGGCACUAGGUGUGGGAGGUAUCGACCCCUUCCGUGCCGCAGCUAACGCAUUAAGUGCCCCGCCUGGGGAGUACGGCCGCAAGGUUGAAACUCAAAGGAAUUGACGGGGCCCGCACAAGCGGUGGAGCAUGUGGUUCAAUUCGACGCAACGCGAAGAACCUUACCAGGGCUUGACAUCCCACGAACCUGCCCGAAAGGGUCGGGUGCCCGCAAGGGAGCGUGGAGACAGGUGGUGCAUGGCUGUCGU